RNAcentral lists this ribosomal RNA (406 nucleotides) under uncultured bacterium. RNAcentral's name for it is "partial 16S ribosomal RNA". It matches the Rfam family "Bacterial small subunit ribosomal RNA", at positions 29 to 526 of the family's 1533-position model. The record is from RNAcentral.
AUUGAACGCUGGCGGCAGGCCUAACACAUGCAAGUCGAACGAGCGGCGGACGGGUGAGUAACGUAUGGGGAUCUGCCCGAUCGAGGGGGAUAACUAAUGGAAAAGGUGGCUAAUACCGCAUACUCUCGGUUUAACCUAUAUGGGAUUAGCUAGUGGGGGGGGUAAAGGCUCACCUAGGCGACGAUCUCUAGCUGGUCUGAGAGGAGGAUCAGCCACACUGGGACUGGGAAACGGCCCAAACCCCUACGGGAGGCAGCGGGGGGGAAUAUGGCAAAAGGGGGGAAGGCCUGAUGCAGCCAGGCCGCGUGUAUGAAGCAGGCCUUAGGGUUGUAAGGUACUUUCAGCGGGGAGGCGUUACCCGCAGAGGAAGCACCGGCUAACUACGUGCCAGCAGCCGCGGUAAUAC